RNAcentral lists this ribosomal RNA (438 nucleotides) under uncultured microorganism. Its description in RNAcentral is "bacterial SSU rRNA". It matches the Rfam family "Bacterial small subunit ribosomal RNA", at positions 346 to 774 of the family's 1533-position model. The record is from RNAcentral.
GUGCACCAGUCGCGAAUAGUCUACAAUGGACGAAAGUCUGAUAGUGCGACGCCGUGUGUGCGAUUAAUUCCUUCGGGAUGUAAAGCACUUUUCUAUGAGAUAAAAGCUCUUUAGGUUAAUAGCUUAUUGAGACGGAUAUUAUUAUAGGAAUAAGCUCCGGCUAACUCCGUGCCAGCAGCCGCGGUAAUACGGAAGGAGCGAGCGUUGUCCGGAUUUACUAGGCGUAAAGGGCUAGUAGGCGACUAAUUAAGUUAUAUGUUAAAUCCCACGGCUCAACUGUGGUCCUGCAUGUAAUACUGGUUAGAUAGAGUACUGUAGAGGAAGGCAGAAUUCCUGGAGUAGCGGUGGAAUGCGCAGAUAUCAGGAAGAAUACCAAAAGCGAAGGCAGCCUUCUGGGCAGUUACUGACGCUGAAUAGCGAAGGUGUGGGUAGCGAACA